UUAUACGGCCAUGCCACCCUGAGCAAGCCCAGUCCCACCUAAUCUUGGAAGCUAAGCAGGGUCAGGCCUGGUUAGUACUUGGAUGGGAGACCACCUAGGAAGACCAGGUGCUGUAGGCA
RNAcentral lists this ribosomal RNA (119 nucleotides) under Pteropus alecto (black flying fox). The record is from RNAcentral. Lineage: Eukaryota; Metazoa; Chordata; Mammalia; Chiroptera; Pteropodidae.